RNAcentral lists this transfer RNA (69 nucleotides) under Peltoperlopsis cebuano. Its description in RNAcentral is "tRNA-Met". It matches the Rfam family "tRNA". From Rfam's summary of the family: Transfer RNA (tRNA) molecules are approximately 80 nucleotides in length. Lineage: Eukaryota; Metazoa; Arthropoda; Insecta; Plecoptera; Peltoperlidae. The record is from RNAcentral.
AGGAAGAUAAGCUAAGUAAGCUAAUGGGCUCAUACCCCACAAAUAGGGGUUUUAAUCCCCUUCUCCCUA